RNAcentral lists this ribosomal RNA (460 nucleotides) under uncultured bacterium. Its description in RNAcentral is "partial 16S ribosomal RNA". It matches the Rfam family "Bacterial small subunit ribosomal RNA", at positions 338 to 795 of the family's 1533-position model. The record is from RNAcentral.
CCUACGGGAGGCAGCAGUGAGGAAUAUUGGUCAAUGGGCGUAAGCCUGAACCAGCCAAGUCGCGUGAGGGAUGAAGGUUCUAUGGAUCGUAAACCUCUUUUUUAAGGGAAUAAAGUGUGGGACGUGUCCUAUUUUGUAUGUACCUUAUGAAUACGGAUCGGCUAACUCCGUGCCAGCCGCCGCGGUACUACGGAGGAUCCGAGCGUUAUCCGGAUUUAUUGGGUUUAAGGGGUGCGUAGGCGGCCUUUUAAGUCAGCGGUGAAAGUCUGUGGCUCAACCAUAGAAUUGCCGUUGAAACUGGGGGGCUUGAGUAUGGUAGAGGCAAGCGGAAUGCGUGGUGUAGCGGUGAAAUGCGUAGAUAUCACGCAGAACCCCAAUUGCGAAGGCAGCCUGCCAAGCCAUGACUGACGCUGAUGCACGAAAGCGUGGGGAUCAAACAGGAUUAGAUACCCCAGUAGUC